AGCACAGUCAGCACAGCAGCCAAUGGUAGUUCUGGCCCAUCGGAAUCAGCGGAUGAUGACUUGCCCAGUGUCAUGACAUGUGCUAAUUACCUCAAGCUUCCUCCGUACUCUACCAAGGUAUGGUAUUUUUGUGAAUUGUGAAGAUGUCCAGGAACUCAUGGAUUUGUUGUCAUUAACCAUCGCCUUCCUUUAACCAGGAAAUCAUGUACAAGAAACUUCUGUAUGCGAUCAGCGAGGGACAGGGGUCUUUUGAUUUGUCAUGAGUCUCUCCAAAACUAACCAAUUGACCUGUGUAUAUCACAUCACAUCACCACAAUGUCAGGGUCAAUUCUCUUCAGGC
Molecule: long non-coding RNA, 340 nt
Filed under: Vitis vinifera (wine grape)
Lineage: Eukaryota; Viridiplantae; Streptophyta; Magnoliopsida; Vitales; Vitaceae
Description: long non-coding RNA (VVIN_LNC000619)
Source: RNAcentral